RNAcentral lists this ribosomal RNA (450 nucleotides) under uncultured bacterium. RNAcentral describes it as "partial 16S ribosomal RNA". It matches the Rfam family "Bacterial small subunit ribosomal RNA", at positions 338 to 795 of the family's 1533-position model. The record is from RNAcentral.
CCUACGGGAGGCUGCAGUAGGGAAUAUUGGACAAUGGGCGAAAGCCUGAUCCAGCCAUGCCGCGUGAUAGAUGAAGGCCCUCUGGGUUGUAAAUCUCUUUUAUCUGGGAAGAAACAAUCUUAUUCUUAAGAUCUUGACGGUACCAGAUGAAUAAGCACCGGCUAACUCCGUGCCAGCAGCCGCGGUAAUACGGAGGGUGCAAGCGUUAUCCGGAUUCACUGGGUUUAAGGGGUGCGUAGACGGGAUGGUAGAAAGCUCCGAGCUGAACUUGGAAACUGCCAUUGAUACUGCCAGUCUUGAAUGUCGUAGAGGUAAGCGGAAUGUUGCAUGUAGCGGUGAAAUGCUUAGAGAUGGUACAGAACACCAAUUGCGAAGGCAGCUUACUAUGCGAGGAUUGACGCUGAGGCACGAAAGCGUGGGGAGCAAACAGGGUUAGAUACCCCAGUAGUC